Molecule: transfer RNA, 86 nt
Filed under: Bacillota bacterium
Lineage: Bacteria; Bacillati; Bacillota
Description: Firmicutes bacterium (anaerobic digester metagenome) tRNA-Leu
Rfam family: tRNA
About the family: Transfer RNA (tRNA) molecules are approximately 80 nucleotides in length. Their secondary structure includes four short double-helical elements and three loops (D, anti-codon, and T loops).
Source: RNAcentral
GGGAAAGUGGCGGAACGGCAGACGCUGCGGACUUAAAAUCCGCUCCGGGUGACCGGGUGAGGGUUCGAGUCCCUCCUUUCCCACCA